This 374-nucleotide ribosomal RNA is filed under the name uncultured bacterium. Its description in RNAcentral is "bacterial SSU rRNA". It matches the Rfam family "Bacterial small subunit ribosomal RNA", at positions 523 to 898 of the family's 1533-position model. The record is from RNAcentral.
AGACGAAGGAUGCAAGCGUUAUCCGGAUUCAUUGGGUUUAAAGGGUGCGUAGGCGGACUUGUAAGUCAGUGGUGAAAUCUCUUCGCUUAACGAAGAAACUGCCAUUGAUACUGCAGGUCUAGAGUAUAGAUGACGUUGGCGGAAUAUGACAUGUAGUGGUGAAAUACUUAGAUAUGUCAUAGAACACCGAUUGCGAAGGCAGCUAACGAAACUAUAACUGACGCUGAGGCACGAAAGUGCGGGGAUCAAACAGGAUUAGAUACCCUGGUAGUCCGCACCGUAAACGAUGAUUACUCGUUGUUGGCGAUAUGACAGUCAGCGACCAAGCGAAAGCGAUAAGUAAUCCACCUGGGGAGUACGCCGGCAACGGUGAA